This 1291-nucleotide long non-coding RNA is filed under the name Marmota monax (woodchuck). Lineage: Eukaryota; Metazoa; Chordata; Mammalia; Rodentia; Sciuridae. The record is from RNAcentral.
CUGGGGUGGGAGGAGGCUGAGGGACACAGUGAGUGCUCAGCUGGAGGGGCUUCCUGCUCAUUCACCAGUCACCCACCUGGGUGGGAACACUGGGAUGCCUCUGUCCUAAGGGUCCCUUAUCGUGUCACUAAUUGCUUUUAUUUAUUCCCUUCAGUUUCCACCAGAGCUGAGGACUGAACUCAGGGCAUUGGGCAUGGUAAACAAGAGCUUUGUCACCGUCCCCUGAGAGAGCGGUCUCACCCCACCACUGGCUUCAGGUUUCUUGGUCUUAGGGCUAUCAGCACCACACAGGGAACCCCUGAGGUGCCACAAAACUGGGCAUAUUCCCUUUUAUGAUGGAGAAUCCCAGGUUGGCCCUGCAUCUUCCCUAUGUUCUCAAAGCUCUGGGAAGGAGGCUUUUCUACCAACAGGAAGGGGACACCUUGGAUCUGGAGGGUAGAAUUGGAUAUGGGAUCUGAGCUAGGCUGGAGACAUGUCUCCAUCCCAUAUCCAUGUGUCUCAGAGGGAACUUCAGGCCUGGGUGUGCAAGGGCAGGUGACCUGGGUCCUAGGAAGAGGUUUGGCAAUGGGAGGCAGUGACCCUGGGCUCUGCUGCUCUUGGGGAAAGAGUUCGGGGAGAACUUUUCUCUCCAUUUGUUGUGCAGCUGUGGCUCAGGCCUGCCCAUGUCCUCUGUGGGUGGCCUCUGUCCUCUGUCCUCUUGUGGUCACCCUGCUUUUCCCCAUGAGUGAUGGAGGUAGGAGGGGACUACAAGGGACCCAUGGCCAAGCAGGGUUCUCCCAGGAACAGAGGCUCAGGGCUCCCCACAUGGGACUCUCCAGGCUCCAUGGUGAUGGGACACAGGGUCUCCUCCCCGAUCAGGAUGUGCACUACAGCCUGUCUUGGUCAGGGACAGCAGGCAUGUGAGGUGGAGCCCACAGGGCCAUUGGUGCCCAGGUGAAAAUCAGGCGACAUCUCCACCUCCACCUCCAGCCAAGGCCACACUCCUGUCUCAAAGAAUCCCAAGGCUGAAUUUGACUGAAAGGCCCAUUGUUGCCCCUGAAAGUCAUGAGGAGACCCAUGGCCAUUGUCAGGGACUGUAGCAGGGAUGCUGCCUAGGGUCCAAAUGGUGACAUUUGGCCCUGACACUGGGCUCAGGUGGCUCUGACCUACAGGCUAUAGGAGAGGUCCUGUUCACCUUGGGUCCCCAGGGUGCCUGACACCCAGUGCAGGGUGAGUCUAGGGAGAGGACGGGGUUGUCCUGAGGACUCCUGCUCAGAGUUGGGAGAACUUUGCAAACAAGGAUGGGCAGCCU